AACAUUAAAAAUAAUACAGAAAUUACUGUUGUUGUUGUUGUUGUUGUUAUUCUGUGAUCUGAUUGGCCGCGUUGACUGCCGGUCACUCCUCUUCCCCCGCCUCUUUCUCUCCCAGCAUCCUUUGCGCCGCUGUGACUGACUUGCUCAGUUAGCCAGUUAGCCUGUACAUGCUGCUACUACGUUGAUUUGUUUUUCUUUCUUCUGGACACUCUCAGAUUCUGUCGUUCGUCCCGGUGAGUCUGUAUUUACCUCGGUUGUGUUUUUAAUACAGUUUGUGGGCGCGUGUUCACCAGCGAGACUGACACUCUACACUGUAACUGUAAACGCACCGGUUAGCUUGUCAGGCUAAUUAAGCUAGCGGCACCGCCGUUAGCGCCUAAACGGGAUCAUUUACGGCUGUUGAAUUUGAUAUUUAAUGACGCUGUAGAAUAUAUUUCAGCUUCUGUGGUGUGUGGAGUCACGUCAACUCGCCUCGGGGAUUAAAACGAGUGUAGUAAAGGACGAGGUAAACGAGCUAGGCAGCGUUUAGCUGCGCUGUUCCAUGCCAUGCUAAAGAGACACAGACUCGGUGUCCAAACCGCUUCUUGCUCCCUUAUUGAGUGCCCUAAUUAGGGUGUGACAUAAUGGCCUUCACGCGCUACAUAGUGUCAAACCUGUUCUACAGACCUCCGUUUAGGAUUCAGCCACUAACCCGGUUUCUUAUCUUAUCAUUAUCCAGUUUUCUGCUUUUUAUUUUCUUUUUCUUCUUCUCACGCCAUUUUAUUUACUUUAAGUUGUUAUUCUUGCACUACCUUCUUUCAUAAUUUCAUACAAAAUGUCCAAUAUAAACUACUCACAGUACAAAAAUGCCACCGUGUGUAGUUCAGCAUAAUUCCAGUGCAUUCUAGUUUACUUUGAGGCGGUUUAGUCUGGGAGAUGGAUGAGUAAUAGAUUUUCUGAGUAAAAAACGUUGACUAUGAGGUUUGAUACAGGAAGGUGUUGUCUAGACAGGGGGUUUCAUGGCGGGGUUUGUGCUCCUGAGAUUCAAAACAAAAAAACCCACAAGGACACUCGGACAGCUGUUUUAAAGUGGAUUAGAAAUCAAGAUUUAGUUUCAUUGGUUGUCUUGUCGACUUCUCGGUUAAACACACAGAGAAAUAAUAUUUCAGCUCGAUGAGUUCAUGACACAACGUCUGCUAUCUCUUCUCUGCGGAAGAUUUGUCUGUCCCGCUCUCUCUUCGCCAGUUAUAACCCGGUACGACCCGGGUUCACCUUCAGGAAGUUUAGUGUUCAGCCUCGACCAAAGCGUUUGUCUAGAUCUCUUUUAUAUUAAAUGACCUGACCCAGUUUCACAAUUUCUCCUGCUUUGAGAUGUUCAAUCAUUCCCCAAGGUCAUUCUGUGGGGUUUUAAGACAUGUUUUAUUUUUUUAAAACCCUUUCUGAGUUCUGAACCAUUUAGGAGAGUACUGAACCAUUUAGGAGAGUACUGAAC
Long non-coding RNA from Ictalurus punctatus (channel catfish), 1471 nucleotides. NCBI's taxonomy places the organism in Eukaryota, Metazoa, Chordata, Actinopteri, Siluriformes, Ictaluridae. The record is from Ensembl.